CCAACUCAUAGUUAUGUAGCCAUUAUCAUUAUUUACUAAUACUUCUGCUUUAUAUCUUAAUUACUUUCCCCUAGUCUUACACGAACGGCAGCCUCUUGAGUUUGUAAUGUUAAUGUAAUUGUUUCGAACCAAAUACCAUUUAGCGAUGACUACUCAAAUCUAAAACUCUCUUUAUAUUUCGUUUCGUUUCCAUCAACCAAAUUGUUUGUACCUAGCGAUUUUGCCAUUGUCUAUGCGUAGAGGUGCAUGUCUCUAGCUAGUUAUUUUAAUAUUUUGCUAGCUACCGUUUUUUCUGCUUUUAGUGCUUGUGUUUUUUUCAGUAUUAAAUCUAAAUUUAACUUUCAACCUUAAUAGUUGUGGAAAUUACUCACACACUGACAAAAACACACAC
Molecule: long non-coding RNA, 391 nt
Filed under: Brassica napus (rape)
Lineage: Eukaryota; Viridiplantae; Streptophyta; Magnoliopsida; Brassicales; Brassicaceae
Description: long non-coding RNA (BNAP_LNC002301)
Source: RNAcentral